AGAGUUUGAUCAUGGCUCAGGAUUAACGCUGGCGGCGUGCGUAACACAAGCAAGUCGAACGUCCUGCUCGCUACGAGCAGGGUGUGGCGGACGGGUGAGUAGCACAUGGGUGACCUACCCUCACGUGAGGAAUACCGGCGCGAAAGCGCCGACAAGACCGCAUAGGGCCGAGCUGCUCACACAGUUCGGGCAAAGGGGCUCUUUCGGGAGUGCCGCGUGAGGAGGGGCCUGUGGCCGAUUAGCUGGUUGGUGGGGUAAGGGCUCACCAAGGCGACGAUCGGUAGCUGGUCUGAGAGGACGAGCAGCCACACUGGGAUUGAGAACGGCCCAGACUCCUACGGGGGGCAGCAGUGAGGAAUUUCCGCAAUGGAGGCAACUCUGACGGAGCAACGCCGCGUGCAGGAGGACGCGCUUCGGUGUGUAAACUGCUUUUCUGUGGGACGAGGUUGGACGGUACCACAGGAAGAAGCCCCGGCUAACUACGUGCCAGCAGCCGCGGUAAGACGUAGGGGGCGAGCGUUAUCCGGAGUUACUGGG
This 537-nucleotide ribosomal RNA is filed under the name uncultured Chloroflexota bacterium. Its description in RNAcentral is "bacterial SSU rRNA". It matches the Rfam family "Bacterial small subunit ribosomal RNA", at positions 8 to 558 of the family's 1533-position model. The record is from RNAcentral. Lineage: Bacteria; Bacillati; Chloroflexota.